Molecule: long non-coding RNA, 1552 nt
Organism: Cervus elaphus (red deer)
Lineage: Eukaryota; Metazoa; Chordata; Mammalia; Artiodactyla; Cervidae
Exons: 4
Source: RefSeq, a predicted model, not a curated record
GCCCCAAGUUCCACACUAUAAAAUGGGCAGUCAUGAGAGCAGAGGAGAUGCCGGGGCGAGGCAGGCCGGGGCCAGCUCACAGCGGGCUUGACUUCAAGCAUGAAGCAAGGCAGAGAACAGGGCGCAGGGGAGUUCUUGACCACUAGUGCUACCUGGGAAGCUCCACCUUCCUCUAAGAUGAAGAGAAGAUUUGCAGCCAACAAGCCCAGCAGCCCAGCAUAGGUCAAAUCUGUUAUAGCUCUCAGCACAUUUCAUCCUCACCAAAGACCUAUGACAAGGUGAAUUGGCUGUGUGUACACGUGUAUCCCCUCCUUUUGAACCUCCUCUCCACCCCCCCUGUGCCGUCCCCUCGGUCACCAAGCAUGGAGCUGCGCCCCCGGUGUUACGCAGCAGCUUCCCGCUGGCUGUCUGUUCUACACGUAGUGUAUCCAUGUCAAUGCUUAUCCAUUGGAGCGUGAUCAGAGUUUCAGGCCCUCCUGCCAGCAGCCUGUACUCCCAGACAACUUAGUCAGCCCGGACAACCUAGACAACUUCAAGGCCAGAAUUCUCCCGAGGGCAGGAUCCUCUGACAGAGAGUCUUUGUUCCUGUUUCCAUGGCUUCCUGUGUGAGCCUGGGAACUCAGAGGGAUCCAAGUCUAUUCUGGAGUCCCGGUAGAACAAUCAUUCUGCUGUGGCUCUUCUUCCUAAGUUUAAUCCCUCAAAAGUUUGCAACCACAGACAAUUCUUUCACUCUAAAGGCAGAAUUUAUAGGAAUCAAGACUCAGACUCUGGAGUCAAAAUAACACUUUUGAAUCCCAACUUUGUUACAUACCAGCUGUGUGAAAUUGGGCAACUUAACUUCUCUGUGCCGCAAUUUUCAGAGGGAAAUGGGGGAAGCCAAAUAAUAGCAUCAACCUCAAGAAGUGAUUGUGAAGACUCAGUGAAAUAAAAUGGCAAGCACAAAGUGCAGUCCCCGGCACACCAGAGAUGGUGGUUCUUGUUAGCAUUGUUCACUAUUGUGAGCAUAUCUGACUCAUUUCUCCUUCCCCAAAGACCAGCAAUGAGCUGGUGAGUUCCUGAGUUGCAUACAACACUGAGCUCCCCUUUCCCAUGUCACAUGUGGGGUAGGGUCAAUUGCAUACACUGCUUUGUAAUUUUUCUGGUAUGGACAGACAACAAGAAUGGUAGAGUUGACAUCUCCUAAGAAUUAAGAAGAGAUGCUGCAGGCUCAAAGGCUGAAGAGGCCAGCAGAGAAAUGCAGAUGAGAGAAGCAAGCUUGGUAGGAAAAACAAUAACCCAGGGCAAGGGGAAAUGGUACUUUAUUCUGGACAUUAGGCAGGUAGGUUAUAAGGACUAGGGCAAACGGGAAGCAGCUCUGUCUAAGCUCAUCGCUGCCAUACUGUAAUGGGGGCCAGGUUGGGGUCCACUGUUGCUAGAUCUUUGUUUAAGAAUAUCCAAAAGUCUACAAGCAAUAAAUGCUGGAGAGGGUGUGGAGAAAAGGGAACCCUCCUACACUGUUGGUGGGAAUGCAAACUAGUACAGCCGCUAUGGAGAACAGUGUGGAGAUUCCUUA